This 107-nucleotide ribosomal RNA is filed under the name Chloropicon mariensis. RNAcentral describes it as "partial Bacterial large subunit ribosomal RNA". The record is from RNAcentral. Lineage: Eukaryota; Viridiplantae; Chlorophyta; Chloropicophyceae; Chloropicales; Chloropicaceae.
UCAUAGGCACGGCAGGAAACCCACGUUAGCUAUAGAUAAGUGCUGAAUGCAUAUAGGCGCGAAGCUUAGCUUAAGAUACUCUUAAAUAUACGUGGUAUAAUACUACG